Molecule: long non-coding RNA, 232 nt
Filed under: Elaeis guineensis (African oil palm)
Lineage: Eukaryota; Viridiplantae; Streptophyta; Magnoliopsida; Arecales; Arecaceae
Description: long non-coding RNA (EGUI_LNC049522)
Source: RNAcentral
UUCGAACUUCUAUAGUACCAUCCGGACUCCUCCAGCAGUCGACCUUCCAUAGUGUCCUCCAAAUUCCUCCAACGGACGAACUCCUAUCGUACCCUCCGGACUUCUCCAAUAAGGAGCUCCUUCAGUCAUCUAUCGGACUACUCCAAAUGCUCUCUGGGCUUCACUAUCAGCCAAUUUUCUACAGUGAUCGACUACUCUCCAAAUCUCUUCCAGACUUCCUCCUAUCACGAUC